GUUUUUAUGUCCGGGUCUUUCGGGUGCGUGCCUCGGCUUAGCCUGAACAAGAACCCUUCCGGUGUUACCGCUACUCCACGGAGAGAAGAGAGGGAGAGGAGAGGCGUAGGCCGAGGCCUUUCCGGACGCGACACCAGUCUCGCGUAGUGUGAGGGAGACGACGGCGCGUGGCGGCCUAGGCCUGAGUGUACAGCCACCGGUGGCCGCCACUCGUCCGGGACUGCCGGUUCCUCGUCAGGGUCCUUGGACUGAUACCUCAACAAUCAUACGUGGUACAACCUUAUGAUACACUUUUAGAACUUUCCAGCUACCGUAAGAUGGUCCUGGAGGAACCAGAAUUCCACUUAGGACGAUCCGGUUUACUGUUCGAAGGCAUGUCUCCACGAACCGAGACCCAACCAAGACUCUACUAGGUGAACUACCUCGACGGUUUAGGUCUAGGUGACUGUCCUGCGGGUCUCGUACCACCCGCACUAGCAGUAUGGACAUAUCGUUAGUCUCUACAGAACUUCAACUUUCUUUAGAAACUGUUUCGACCUUAGUCGAUGUGCGAGUCGUUUAGGCCCGCUGGUCGCUAGAAACGUGCUCUGGGCCUACCUUUGCGCAACCUUAAAUGUGUUCACAUUGUUCACUCUCAGUUUAAAGGUUGAUCUUGUGUGGAGUGUCUUACCACGAACAUUCUAAUGACAUAGGUUCUGGAACAACGUCCAGAACGACAGAUCGUUUGUUCUAGACCGACCCCGUUAAGACGAACACGGAACAUGUAUGGUCAGUUCUUUAACUCUACAUAGAUAGUGUACUACUAUUUGACCGUAAAUUUUACAAUCGGUUAAACCAGACAUCAUCACUAACUCAUAAUGACUUACUGUACCCAUACCUGUUUACUUAUAACAUUUAAGGAAGGUGUAAUACUAUGAAUGUAGUCUAAACUUACGCGAUGCAAAAGACUAUAGUAACAGUCACGGAAGAUUUAUAGAGAACCUUGUUCGUACUUUUUUUAUUAGGAUUAGGGUAGGCUUUCGACAUACAGGACUUGACCCUAAGAAGGAUACGAAAGUACCUUCUAGUCAUCGAGUAGUGUAAUGUCUUCGGGCGCAAAACUGUACCACUUGUCUGGGGAUCUCCUUACAUUGCGACCCCACCGGCGGUACCUCCUCCAGCACUCGUUAGGACAGGGCGAGGAACAGCCGGCGACGCCUGUCGUGACCUAACCGUCGCCGCUGGUGCAGCCGCAGCAGGACGACCCUCUCAAGCCUGACCUUCAGCCGCAGCUCGAGGAGCGGCGACGCAAGCGUCUUCAACACGUCGUGCGUCGUCCGUGGCUAGUACAACACCUCCAGGCCGUCGAACCCGAGCCACGCCGCGACGUCCGUCGCGGUGGCGGGGAACUCGGAGACCUUCCGCGGGACACGACGACGCGCGCGCCGCCGCUACGCGAGCAACUUCCGCACGACGCGGGUACAGUCCAAGACCACGCGCAUGCCGUGCUCGUAGGUCAGGCACUCGCCCAUCGAGCGCGGCGGGUGGUCGGCCGUGACCAGCAGAGGCUCGUACGGCCAGAGCGUCGCCCGCACGUCGCGCCUGGAGAGCUCGUGCCGCCGCAGCCUGUCGCUCGGUCCCUCCGGCUACGUGUGCAGACACUUCCGCGGCAGUCGCAGGUGCUGCCGGACGUGCCGCUGCCUCAUCCUCCGGAACAACAAGGCGAGGCACUCCGCCGCCAACAUCAUGAGCCGGUGCAACAGGAACCCACCCGGCUACCCCUACACCAGCCACAUGUGCCUCGGCUGCUGCGGCCCCUUGGGCCUGUCCCGGACCUUGGACCGCCGCCCCCUAAGGUCACCGGUCGCCUGCCGGAACCCGUCCUCCUGCCGCCACUCCCGCCGCGUCUGGACCUCCUGCUACAACACCGUCCACCUCUACGGCUCUGGCUUCGCCGCCCUCUGGAGCGCCUCCCCGAGGGGCCACCGCUCCGCGGUCUCCGUCUGGCGCUGCGCGACCACGUGCCCAUACCGUCGCGCGUCGCGCCACAGGAGGAACCGCUGCCGCCGCGACUCGAGCAGCGUCUCGCGCAGCUUCCACCGCGCGCUGUACGCCUUCCGGACCGCCUUGAGCCGCAGGCCCGUGCGGCCCGGCGACUCCGCCAGGGUGGUGAGGCACGAGGCGAGGGAGUGGGUGUGGGCGGCCGGGGGCGAGGAACGGCGACCGCGACGCAGCGGCGGCGACACCCGUCCGCUCCACCCGCCGCUCGGGACGUGGAAGGAGGACUGGCGGCCGCCGGCGCUGCUCGGCAGCAGAGGGCGCCCCUGCUUCGGCGCGAAGGAAGGAACUGGUCAGUAAAGGCGACCACCGCGGCGCCGGCCGCCACCGUUGCCGCGCCGCCGCACAGGCUUCUUCCGACCGCGCCGGAGCCGCGGCGGCAUCAUUCCCUUCUGCAGCCCGCGCCGCCGCUCCAGCAGCAAGUACUCCUUCCGCUCCUCCCUCCUCACCAGCAGCCGUCGACGACCCGGCAGCUUCUCGCUACCUUCUCCCCACUUCCCGCACUCCAUCCACGAGUACUAGGCUAGCCAGAGCAGCUCAGAACCGACCGCCUCGAUCGAGCUAGCCGCCGCCGUGAGGCUUCAUGUCAUGACCGUCAGCCCACGAAGUCACUCUGCGCCCUACUCCUCCUAUAUACUAGCUGCUCCUCCUCCUCCUCCUCCUCU
RNAcentral lists this ribosomal RNA (2702 nucleotides) under Triticum aestivum (bread wheat). RNAcentral describes it as "partial small subunit ribosomal RNA". Lineage: Eukaryota; Viridiplantae; Streptophyta; Magnoliopsida; Poales; Poaceae. The record is from RNAcentral.